This 392-nucleotide RNase P RNA is filed under the name Gracilinema caldarium. RNAcentral describes it as "Treponema caldarium (sediment metagenome) partial RNase P RNA component class A". It matches the Rfam family "Bacterial RNase P class A". From Rfam's summary of the family: Ribonuclease P (RNase P) is a ubiquitous endoribonuclease, found in archaea, bacteria and eukarya as well as chloroplasts and mitochondria. Its best characterised activity is the generation of mature 5'-ends of tRNAs by cleaving the 5'-leader elements of precursor-tRNAs. Cellular RNase Ps are ribonucleoproteins. Lineage: Bacteria; Pseudomonadati; Spirochaetota; Spirochaetia; Treponematales; Breznakiellaceae. The record is from RNAcentral.
ACGAUGGAUCCGAUUGCCGCUUGUGAUUAUGGUUUACAUAUUUGCAAGAGGAAAGUCCGGGCUCCGCAGGGCAUGAUGCCGGGUAAUUCCCGGGCUGAGAAAAGAUGAAAAUCUUUUCUUAGACAGACAGUGCAACAGAAAGUAUACCGCUAAACGUAAAAACUUUUAGUUUUUACUGUAAGUAAGGGUGAAAGGGUGGGGUAAGAGCCCACCGCAUAUCUGGUAACAGGUAUGGCACGGCAAACCUCAUCAGGAGCAAAGUUGAGCAGCGGAAUGAAGGGCCCCUUCGGUACUCCGCGGGUAGACUGCGUCGACAGUGUUGGCAACAACACUGCAAGAUAGAUGGCAAUCCUACGGUUUCGGUUCCCGAAACCGUUUGACAGAACCCGGCU